This 328-nucleotide long non-coding RNA is filed under the name Capra hircus (goat). RNAcentral's name for it is "lncRNA (ENSCHIG00000007228.1)". The record is from RNAcentral. Lineage: Eukaryota; Metazoa; Chordata; Mammalia; Artiodactyla; Bovidae.
GGCUGGACAAAGGUUUCAGUUCAGGCUCUCAGUCUGACUCUUUGUGACCCCAUGGACUGUAGCCCACCAGGCUUCCCUGUCCCUGGACAAAGGUUUACUACAUGAAUACAUUUCUGAGUGAAGGAUAGACUGCAGUUCAUUCCAGAAUGUCUGUAUGGAUGGGCUUCUCAAGGAAUGAGACAGAAGUGGAAGGAAGGCUGGCAAACUAGCAGCAUGGACAUGAAGAUCACCCAACUUGCAGAAGUUCUGGAUGAUAUAAUUGUUUCAUGUAUGUCAUUUCCUCUCUAACCCCUAUUCAGCUGGCUCUUCUGCACUUCCUCUGAUUUUG